AGCAAAUUAGGAAGAUUCCAGUCGCAAUUCCACAAAUGUACCACAUGUGUGAAGACAGUGAUCUCCGAGCUGCACCAAGUGGACUUCUACGCUAGCACCACUGACCUGUGGUCCAGUCGUACGACUGAGCCCUACAUGAGCUUUACCAUUCACUUUCUUUCACUUGCUACCGUUCAUGACGGUUUUCUAUAUCAAAUGCUGUUAUAAAAAUUAAUUAUAAUAUUGCAAUGUUAUUUCACCCUGUAUGUCCUUGUUUUGUUUUUUCUUCACUUUUCAGAAAAUGCUGUUAAAGGUGAUGAGCGCAUUACUCAAGCUGUUGGUCUUUGCAAAAAGUUCGAGGGACAUUUCUCCCACAGCUGGAAGGAGAAGAUGGUCCUGAAAGAAGCACAAAAAGAGCACAACCUCCCAGAGCACUGACAGAAUGCCCUACAAGGUGGGGAUCGAGACAGAAAAUGAUUCAGAGAGUUUUGGAGCAGCAGCGGGCCAUGUCAGCAGACAGAAAGUCAAGACAUUUGGUUCCAUCUUGGCAGGACCUAGAUGUACUUGAGUCUAUAAACCAGGCAUUGCAGCCAAUGCAAGAAUUUACAGAUGCUCUGUCAGGUGAAAGUUAUGCAAGCGUUUCGUAUGUGAAACCUGUACUUCACUUGAUAAACACCUCAGUUCUUGCUGCCAUGGAAGAAGACAGUGAUUUAACAAAGUCCAUAGAGAUGACGAUUACAUGAACACCAAGUAUGACAACCCAGCAACUCAAGAACUUCUGGACAUGACCUGCUUUAUGGACCCCAGAUUAAUCAGCAAUGAUGAGGUGUCAGACAUCAGAGCCAGGGUAAAUGUUAAUAUGACAAUAAUAAGUGAUAAAAUAGUGCACUAUAACUAGAUUUGAUUACAAUAAUUAAUUUAUUUCUCUAUAUUAGGAGUAAAGCCUACACUGAAAAAAGUCUAACAUUGCUGUUGUUCGUUUAAUGUGUAUUUUCUCGUUGAAAUAGCUUAAAAUUAUUAUUUUUUUCAUUUAAAGUAAACAUUUUAGUUUAUAUUUAUGGUUGAAUCCAUUUUUUUACAUUGAUACAAUAUAAAUUGGCAGCGGGACAUUAAACUGAAUUUAUUAAUUUGAUCAGAGCAUUUUUAUUAGAUUAAGCAUGAUUUGCACAUGCGCAUUGUUGAGUUGGAGUUCCCGCUCUCUGAUUCAAAAAAAAAAACCGUCCGUCACAGUUGAACUGUCUGUGAAGAACACAACACACGAUCUGUUGAGCGGCGGCCGUGACGGUACACUUCAACAGACGCCAGACCCCUCCAGCCAGGCUGCGACACAGAACUACGAGCAACAUUGAUACAGAUCAAUGCCGAGUUCUUGCGAAUUACAACAGUUCCCUUGGAGACAAAGUUCUUGGUGCAGUUGGACAAGCACUCCACCAAACUGUUGGAGGUCAUCAGGAGCAAGGGAGGAGUUGUGAAAGAGAAGACCACCAGGACCUUGCAGGUUUUAGAUGAGGAAAAUGAGGUUGAAGAACUGGAGCAGGCAACCAUGGCGAUCUUUAUCACUGGGAAAGAGGAUCCUCUCCAUCCACCAAAAGACAUUAAAAUUGUCAUCGAAGGAACAGAGGUCCUGAACCAGUCGCCCUCGGUUGCAACCGCUUUUGCCAUGGUCUUUGGGCUCAUAUACACACUUAACCUAAAAUAUCUGAAAAGGCUGCAGUUCACCUUUGAAUUUGUGCAAAAGGUCCUGAUGGAGCUUGAUGGAAAAAAAGAUGACCCCAAAAGUCACUAGACUGACCACCCAGCUGUACAGCACAGAGUAGGCAGAGCUGAAUUGCACAGACUUGUUUGAAUUUAUUUUCCAUUUGUGGUUGAAUUUUAUGGUGAUUUACAGCCAAAACUUUGGAUCCUUUUGUAAGAGGUUGCACUUACAAGGCUGCAUUUUCACAGCAGCAUUUACAAAUGUGGCUGCCCAAGUUCGAUGGCUACCAGCCUCAAAGGCCAAAGUAGGCCAAGUGUUAUGGACAACUGGAGAGACUGAUUGCAGUGUUCUCAGCGUAUGCACAGAUUUGUACGAAAGAGUUUAGAUUUUCAGACCAAUGGAGAGGGCCAGGAGCUUGCUAUAUUGCAUAUAAAUUAGUUGUAUUUAAAUGUAGAGCUUACAGCUCUGUAUCAGAAACUCUGACAGUGUCUUAGGAGUUCCACUGUUCACUGUCUGAGGAGCAGUUCCAGGUUUUGUCUCUGGUUUUCAGCUGAAAGAGAAUGUUCAUCAUCAUAUACAUUUGUAUAUAAACAGGUAUACAAUACUGUCUUAACAUUUAAUUGUAUUUUAGGAUGUUUUAUGGUGAAAUGUGUUCUGUCAGGACAAACCUUCCUAAUUUAAUAUUACUACUAAUGUGAUGUCAUCAAGUGAUGAUUUGAUUAUUUUGUAACAAAUUUGUAUUUUUGUGUGAAGCAGACUGUUAAUAUUCAUACAUUUGUAACAGAUGUUCAAUGUCAGUUUAUUGAACAAUAAAUAUAAAUGUGUUCUAAAGAAAAGUGUUAUG
Molecule: long non-coding RNA, 2519 nt
Organism: Ctenopharyngodon idella (grass carp)
Lineage: Eukaryota; Metazoa; Chordata; Actinopteri; Cypriniformes; Xenocyprididae
Exons: 3
Source: RefSeq, a predicted model, not a curated record